RNAcentral lists this ribosomal RNA (279 nucleotides) under uncultured bacterium. Its description in RNAcentral is "partial 16S ribosomal RNA". It matches the Rfam family "Bacterial small subunit ribosomal RNA", at positions 506 to 784 of the family's 1533-position model. The record is from RNAcentral.
UGCCAGCCGCCGCGGUAAUACAGAGGGUGCGACCGUUGUUCGGAAUUACUGGGCAUAAAGGGCGCGUAGGCGGCCUGUUAAGUGUGAAGUGAAAUCCCACGGCUCAACCGUGGAACUGCUUUGCAUACUGGCAGGCUCGAGGACGGUAGGGGAGAGCGGAACUCUUGGAGGAGCGGUGAAAUGCGUAGAUAUCAAGAGGAACACCAAUGGCGAAGGCAGCUCUCUGGUCCGUUACUGACGCUGAGGCGCGAAAGCCAGGGUAGCGAACGGGAUUAGAUA